Molecule: ribosomal RNA, 489 nt
Filed under: uncultured bacterium
Lineage: Bacteria
Description: SSU rRNA
Rfam family: Bacterial small subunit ribosomal RNA
Source: RNAcentral
AGGAUAAACGCUGGCGGCGUGCCUAACACAUGCAAGUCGAACGCGCUUGCUAUCCGCAAGGGGAGCGAGCGAGUGGCGGACGGGUGAGGAACACGUGGGUGACCUACCUUUCAGUGAGGGAUACCGGCGAGAAAUUGCCGACAAGACCGCAUACGCUUGUUGCACCAAUGCAACACGCAAAGCUGCACGCGAGUGUGGCGCUGGGAGAUGGGCCUGCGGCCGAUUAGCUAGCUGGUGGGGUAAUGGCUUACCAGGGCGACGAUCGGUAGCCGGCCUGAGAGGGGUGACCGGGCCACGACUGGGACUGGGACACGGCCCAGACUCCUACGGGAGGCAGCAGUGGGGAAUAUUGCACAAUGGGCGAAAGCCUGAUGCAGCGACGCCGCGUGAGGGAUGACGGCCUUCGGGUUGUAAACCUCUUUCAGUAGGAACAAGGACACACGUUGUGUGGUUGAGGGUACUUGCAGAGAAGCGCCGGCUAACUACGUG